Molecule: long non-coding RNA, 291 nt
Filed under: Brachypodium distachyon (stiff brome)
Lineage: Eukaryota; Viridiplantae; Streptophyta; Magnoliopsida; Poales; Poaceae
Description: long non-coding RNA (BDIS_LNC000180)
Source: RNAcentral
GCUGGAUGUUCAGGCAAUGCACAAGCCAAUUUCUUAUAAUAAUACCUUAAAAUUUUCAGAAAAUUCUAAAAAAACGAAAAAUGCACCAAGUGCUUUAUGGGAAUUAAUUUAGUGGUUUUAAUUUAGCGAAACGGUCGCGGUGCACUGGUCCCAGGCGCUGUGCGUGCUGGGCAGCCUGGGCUGCUGUGGCGGACGAGGAGAUGGGCCACGGGAGAGGGAAGGCUCAAGGGAAAAGAAAAGAAAGAGAGGAGGGGAAGGCCCAUGGGAAAAGAGAAGAUGGGCUGGGAGAAU